RNAcentral lists this ribosomal RNA (456 nucleotides) under Triticum aestivum (bread wheat). RNAcentral's name for it is "partial small subunit ribosomal RNA". Lineage: Eukaryota; Viridiplantae; Streptophyta; Magnoliopsida; Poales; Poaceae. The record is from RNAcentral.
AUGAUGAAGAUUCUGGAACAGUGCAUGACAUGUCCAAGCCCAAGGUCUUCCCUUAGUGUGAAGCACCUGAGCUGGCGUCGAGCAAUAUCCCUUGAAUAUUAUUUCAUUGUGUUCUUUCUAGGUGUGCAACCAUAUCAGCUGCACCAAGGAGCUCCAUGCACGGGGCACGGCAGUACUACUUCCCACAAAACCUAUUAUAAACAGUGUGCUAGCUACCAGGAAUGUGCAGAUUCAUGGAAGAGCUUUGUGCAAAAAAUUAGGAGAAAGAGAAACAUAAGAGACAUUUCAGCAAGUUUACUUAUGGAGGCAAAAAAUAAUUCUACUUAUCACUGUAAUACGAGUUGUAAUAAACGAGAAAAGACGUGUGAUAUUAUCUUUUUUCUCCUGUUGCAACUCACGGGCAUUUGUGCUAGUAUAUAUUUAUUUAUUUAUUUAUUUGGUAUUUAUCAAUUUUAG